RNAcentral lists this ribosomal RNA (497 nucleotides) under uncultured bacterium. Its description in RNAcentral is "partial 16S ribosomal RNA". It matches the Rfam family "Bacterial small subunit ribosomal RNA", at positions 28 to 507 of the family's 1533-position model. The record is from RNAcentral.
GAUGAACGCUGGCGGCGUGCCUAAUACAUGCAAGUCGAGCGAACGGACGAGAAGCUUGCCUCUCUGAUGUUAGCGGCGGACGGGUGAGUAACACGUGGAUAACCUACCUAUAAGACUGGGAUAACUUCGGGAAACCGGAGCUAAUACCGGAUAAUAUUUUGAACCGCAUGGUUCAAAAGUGAAAGACGGUCUUGCUGUCACUUAUAGAUGGAUCCGCGCUGCAUUAGCUAGUUGGUAAGGUAACGGCUUACCAAGGCAACGAUGCAUAGCCGACCUGAGAGGGUGAUCGGCCACACUGGAACUGAGACACAGUCCAGACUCCUACGGGAGGCAGCAGUAGGGAAUCUUCCGCAAUGGGCGAAAGCCUGACGGAGCAACGCCGCGUGAGUGAUGAAGGUCUUCGGAUCGUAAAACUCUGUUACUAGGGAAGAACAUAUGUGUAAGUAACUGUGCACAUCUUGACGGUACCUAAUCAGAAAGCCACGGCUAACUACGUG